This 564-nucleotide ribosomal RNA is filed under the name uncultured bacterium. RNAcentral's name for it is "partial 16S ribosomal RNA". It matches the Rfam family "Bacterial small subunit ribosomal RNA", at positions 355 to 912 of the family's 1533-position model. The record is from RNAcentral.
UGGGGAAUUUUGGACAAUGGGCGAAAGCCUGAUCCAGCAAUGCCGCGUGUGUGAAGAAGGCCUUCGGGUUGUAAAGCACUUUUGUCCGGAAAGAAAUCCUUGGCUCUAAUACAGUCGGGGGAUGACGGUACCGGAAGAAUAAGCACCGGCUAACUACGUGCCAGCAGCCGCGGUAAUACGUAGGGUGCAAGCGUUAAUCGGAAUUACUGGGCGUAAAGCGUGCGCAGGCGGUUUGCUAAGACCGAUGUGAAAUCCCCGGGCUCAACCUGGGAACUGCAUUGGUGACUGGCAGGCUAGAGUAUGGCAGAGGGGGGUAGAAUUCCACGUGUAGCAGUGAAAUGCGUAGAGAUGUGGAGGAAUACCGAUGGCGAAGGCAGCCCCCUGGGCCAAUACUGACGCUCAUGCACGAAAGCGUGGGGAGCAAACAGGAUUAGAUACCCUGGUAGUCCACGCCCUAAACGAUGUCAACUAGUUGUUGGGGAUUCAUUUCCUUAGUAACGUAGCUAACGCGUGAAGCUGACCGCCUGGGGAGUACGGUCGCAAGAUUAAAACUCAAAUGAAUUG